Molecule: ribosomal RNA, 940 nt
Filed under: Janthinobacterium sp.
Lineage: Bacteria; Pseudomonadati; Pseudomonadota; Betaproteobacteria; Burkholderiales; Oxalobacteraceae
Description: bacterial SSU rRNA
Rfam family: Bacterial small subunit ribosomal RNA
Source: RNAcentral
CAUGCAAGUCGAACGGCAGCACGGAGCUUGCUCUGUGUGGCGAGUGGCGAACGGGUGAGUAAUAUAUCGGAACGUACCCUAGAGUGGGGGAUAACGUAGCGAAAGUUACGCUAAUACCGCAUACGAUCUAAGGAUGAAAGUGGGGGAUCGCAAGACCUCAUGCUCGUGGAGCGGCCGAUAUCUGAUUAGCUAGUUGGUAGGGUAAAAGCCUACCAAGGCAUCGAUCAGUAGCUGGUCUGAGAGGACGACCAGCCACACUGGAACUGAGACACGGUCCAGACUCCUACGGGAGGCAGCAGUGGGGAAUUUUGGACAAUGGGCGAAAGCCUGAUCCAGCAAUGCCGCGUGAGUGAAGAAGGCCUUCGGGUUGUAAAGCUCUUUUGUCAGGGAAGAAACGGUGAGAGCUAAUAUCUCUUGCUAAUGACGGUACCUGAAGAAUAAGCACCGGCUAACUACGUGCCAGCAGCCGCGGUAAUACGUAGGGUGCAAGCGUUAAUCGGAAUUACUGGGCGUAAAGCGUGCGCAGGCGGUUUUGUAAGUCUGAUGUGAAAUCCCCGGGCUCAACCUGGGAAUUGCAUUGGAGACUGCAAGGCUAGAAUCUGGCAGAGGGGGGUAGAAUUCCACGUGUAGCAGUGAAAUGCGUAGAUAUGUGGAGGAACACCGAUGGCGAAGGCAGCCCCCUGGGUCAAGAUUGACGCUCAUGCACGAAAGCGUGGGGAGCAAACAGGAUUAGAUACCCUGGUAGUCCACGCCCUAAACGAUGUCUACUAGUUGUCGGGUCUUAAUUGACUUGGUAACGCAGCUAACGCGUGAAGUAGACCGCCUGGGGAGUACGGUCGCAAGAUUAAAACUCAAAGGAAUUGACGGGGACCCGCACAAGCGGUGGAUGAUGUGGAUUAUUCGAUGCAACGCGAAAAAACCUUACCUACCCUUGACAUGG